ACGCUGGCGGCGUGCCUAAUACAUGCAAGUAGAACGCUGAAGAGAGGAGCUUGCUCUUCUUGGAUGAGUUGCGAACGGGUGAGUAACGCGUAGGUAACCUGCCUUGUAGCGGGGGAUAACUAUUGGAAACGAUAGCUAAUACCGCAUAACAAUGGAUGACACAUGUCAUUUAUUUGAAAGGGGCAAUUGCUCCACUACAAGAUGGACCUGCGUUGUAUUAGCUAGUAGGUGAGGUAACGGCUCACCUAGGCGACGAUACAUAGCCGACCUGAGAGGGUGAUCGGCCACACUGGGACUGAGACACGGCCCAGACUCCUACGGGAGGCAGCAGUAGGGAAUCUUCGGCAAUGGGGGCAACCCUGACCGAGCAACGCCGCGUGAGUGAAGAAGGUUUUCGGAUCGUAAAGCUCUGUUGUAAGUCAAGAACGAGUGUGAGAGUGGAAAGUUCACACUGUGACGGUAGCUUACCAGAAAGGGACGGCUAACUACGUGCCAGCAGCCGCGGUAAUACGUAGGUCCCGAGCGUUGUCCGGAUUUAUUGGGCGUAAAGCGAGCGCAGGCGGUUUGAUAAGUCUGAAGUUAAAGGCUGUGGCUCAACCAUAGUUCGCUUUGGAAACUGUCAAACUUGAGUGCAGAAGGGGAGAGUGGAAUUCCAUGUGUAGCGGUGAAAUGCGUAGAUAUAUGGAGGAACACCGGUGGCGAAAGCGGCUCUCUGGUCUGUAACUGACGCUGAGGCUCGAAAGCGUGGGGAGCGAACAGGAUUAGAUACCCUGGUAGUCCACGCCGUAAACGAUGAGUGCUAGGUGUUGGAUCCUUUCCGGGAUUCAGUGCCGCAGCUAACGCAUUAAGCACUCCGCCUGGGGAGUACGACCGCAAGGUUGAAACUCAAAGGAAUUGACGGGGGCCCGCACAAGCGGUGGAGCAUGUGGUUUAAUUCGAAGCAACGCGAAGAACCUUACCAGGUCUUGACAUCCCGAUGCUAUUUCUAGAGAUAGAAAGUUACUUCGGUACAUCGGUGACAGGUGGUGCAUGGUUGUCGUCAGCUCGUGUCGUGAGAUGUUGGGUUAAGUCCCGCAACGAGCGCAACCCCUAUUGUUAGUUGCCAUCAUUCAGUUGGGCACUCUAGCGAGACUGCCGGUAAUAAACCGGAGGAAGGUGGGGAUGACGUCAAAUCAUCAUGCCCCUUAUGACCUGGGCUACACACGUGCUACAAUGGUUGGUACAACGAGUUGCGAGUCGGUGACGGCAAGCUAAUCUCUUAAAGCCAAUCUCAGUUCGGAUUGUAGGCUGCAACUCGCCUACAUGAAGUCGGAAUCGCUAGUAAUCGCGGAUCAGCACGCCGCGGUGAAUACGUUCCCGGGCCUUGUACACACCGCCCGUCACACCACGAGAGUUUGUAACACCCGAAGUCGAUGAGGUAACCUUUUGGAGCCAGCCGCCUAAGG
This 1445-nucleotide ribosomal RNA is filed under the name uncultured organism. RNAcentral's name for it is "SSU rRNA". It matches the Rfam family "Bacterial small subunit ribosomal RNA". The record is from RNAcentral.